AGUUUGAAGAUUCCCUUAAGACCGAAACAAACAAGUAAACACCUCUGACUAUGUUUGGUCGUUUAGUCUAUGGUGGAUCUGUAGAUCCAUUUUUUUUAAACUGAAGUUUGGAUGUUUUAUUUAUUUUAGAAAUGUAAAAGAUUUCUGUGUCUGUGAAUGUGCAGUGUUGUAUGGUAGAGGAAAACAUAGGCCCUGAAUACCCUUGGCUGUGUACAUUUGAGUAAAGAGAGCACUAUAAAAUCAAAAACCAAUGAAAUGGUUUCCAGAACACAGAACUAUUAAGCUUAAGAAAAGGACAGAAGGAACUGAAGAGAGAGGAACUGUUUUGGAGCAUCACACUUCCACCUCAGAAGAAAUAAGGAAGGAAGGAGGAGGGUGUUCCCACGGCUCUUCAACCAGGCCGGCUCUUCAGCCUACAUCCCCAUCUCAUCAAGUAAAAGGGAUUUUUCAACUGGACCAACCAGAUGGUUUAACAGUGCACUCCCACACCAUUCAACUACGCAAGGGAGAUACACUUAACAUAUGCAGUCGUAUAACACCUACUAACAUUUUCAAACAUUAAACCUUUAAAAAAGAGUUCUAAAGAAAUAGAAGCUUGAAGUAUCAUCUCUCAAGUAUAUAGACACUACUUCAUGGUGUGGUAAUAUAUGCAUAUAGAAGCUAGUAAACACCUCCAGGAGAUGCAAAAGGAAUUAGAACUGCCACAAGG
RNAcentral lists this long non-coding RNA (709 nucleotides) under Homo sapiens (human). RNAcentral describes it as "non-protein coding LINC00343:1". Lineage: Eukaryota; Metazoa; Chordata; Mammalia; Primates; Hominidae. The record is from RNAcentral.